AAGGUCGAUGAAGAAGAUGUUGUCUCUCACAUCCUUGCUGGACUUGACGAGGAGUUCGACCCCGUGGUCUCGGCCAUGUGCUCCAGGGUCGAACCGGUCACUGUCCCGGAGCUGUAUUCACAGAUGUUGAGCUUCGAGA
Molecule: non-coding RNA, 139 nt
Organism: Triticum aestivum (bread wheat)
Lineage: Eukaryota; Viridiplantae; Streptophyta; Magnoliopsida; Poales; Poaceae
Source: Rfam